GGAAGUAAAAGUCGUAACGAGGUUUCCGUAGGUGAACCUGCGGAAGGAUCAUUAUUGUAUAACCGAGGUGCGAGGGCUGUCGCUGACCCGAAAGGUCGUGCACGCCCGAGUGCCCUCACACACAUCCAUCUCUCCCCUAUGUGCACCACCGCGUGGGUCCCCCUUUGGCUUGUUCGGAGGGGGGCUUACGUUUUCACACAAACUUUGUAUGCAGUGUAGAAUGUAUUUUUUGUUUUUGCGAUCACGCAAUCAAUACAACUUUCAACAACGGAUCUCUUGGCUCUC
This 285-nucleotide unclassified non-coding RNA is filed under the name plant metagenome. RNAcentral describes it as "partial contains small subunit ribosomal RNA, internal transcribed spacer 1, and 5.8S ribosomal RNA". The stretch from base 1 to 54 matches the Rfam family "Eukaryotic small subunit ribosomal RNA", at positions 1778 to 1831 of the family's 1831-position model. The record is from RNAcentral.